This 423-nucleotide ribosomal RNA is filed under the name Neoseiulus idaeus. RNAcentral's name for it is "partial 12S ribosomal RNA". Lineage: Eukaryota; Metazoa; Arthropoda; Arachnida; Mesostigmata; Phytoseiidae. The record is from RNAcentral.
GGGGUAGAUACCCUAUUAGAUAACUAGUAUUAAAAUUUAGUAGUAAGUGAAAUUCAUGAAACUAAAAUUAAUUGGCGGCUUUUUAAAUAUUUUAGAGAAAUUUAUUCUGUAAAGGAUUUAACCCCAAAAUCUUACUUUUUUUUGUAUAAUAUAUAUAUAUUAUAUUACAUUUCAUAUACCUCUAUUUUUUGAUUAUUAAAUUAAUUAUAGCAUUUUCUAUGAUUGUUUAGAAGUAUUUUAGGGAAAGGUGUGGAUUAUAAAAAAGAUUGAAAUAAGUUUUAUUAAUUAGUAUUUAAUGAAAUUUAAAUUGAUAGAUUUAAAUUCAAUAAAAUUUAAAAGUAAAAUUAGUGAAAUAGGCUAAUUUGAAUAUAUUUUUAAAAGUGUACAUAUUGCCCGUCACUCUCUUUUUAGAGAUAAGCGAAG